Molecule: ribosomal RNA, 249 nt
Filed under: uncultured bacterium
Lineage: Bacteria
Description: partial 16S ribosomal RNA
Rfam family: Bacterial small subunit ribosomal RNA
Source: RNAcentral
UACGAGGGGGGCGAGCGUUGUUCGGAAUUAUUGGGCGUAAAGGGUGCGUAGGCGGCCUGACAAGUCUGAUGUGAAAUCCCUGGGCUCAACCCAGGGCCUGCAUCGGAAACUGUCGGGCUUGAGUAUGGGAGAGGUGAGUGGAAUUUCCGGUGUAGCGGUGAAAUGCGUAGAUAUCGGAAGGAACACCUGUGGCGAAAGCGGACUCACUGGACCAUUACUGACGCUGAGGCACGAAAGCUAGGGGAGCAA